Long non-coding RNA from Pseudophryne corroboree (corroboree frog), 1087 nucleotides. RefSeq lists it as uncharacterized. The transcript has 3 exons. The record is from RefSeq and is a predicted model, not a curated record. Lineage: Eukaryota; Metazoa; Chordata; Amphibia; Anura; Myobatrachidae.
UGGAGGAGCUAUUUGCUGUAACUAGCCAGCCUCAGCAGCACUCAACUGUGGAGGAGCCUGGUGCAGGGCCAAGUCAGGGCAAGAAUAAAAAAAGACAGCCUCAUUUUAGCAAGCAGGAAUUACAUAUCCUAAUUUCUGAAGCCAUGGAAAAAGUUCACCAUGCCCCCAAAAACAUAUGUGCGGCUGCAAAAGAGAAGAUAUGGCAAGAUAUCACAGAUGGCGUAAAUGUGAAGUCAAGAGAAGAUGGGCAGACUUCACAUGUCGACUCAAGGCAAAAAUGGCAGCUAGAAAAAGACAUGCAAGGGGGACUGGUGGAGGCACAACCCCACACUGGUUUGUCUUUACCCCUUUAGAAAAAAUGGCUCUGGGGUCAAUUGAGGAUGAGGAAGUGGUAGGAGUUUCAAACAUCGCGACAGACCUCCCUACCAUUGGAACUCCUUAUGUAGCACAAGAACUAUCUCGUGAGGCUGAUGCUGGUGAGGCCAUCCUGGUGCAGAAGAAGAUGUUGUGGAGGGGGGUUCAAUGCCAUUUUUGGAUGAGGAAGUGCCAUAUGUUGAAACACCACACCAACCCCAAAGGUCAACUGCCCAUAUCCCACCAUCUGUAACUCCUCUACUUAGUAGUCAACAGAUCCAGCAGGAAAUACUGACAGAAAGUCGACGCAAUUCACAGAUUUUCCAGCAGAUUUUAGAUGAGGUGCGUGAAAGAAACACCCUCAGCAGGGCAAGAAAUCAGCUCCUGGACCAGCACAAUACCAUUAUGCACAAUCUUACCAAUGUUGUAGAAGAGAGCAUGAGGCAGAUUGUAGCAGUUGUGGCUGAAGGACGUCACAACACCAUGUCAGCUCCAUCAUCCACACAGAACAUUGCAGACAACAUGGUUACUGACAGAAUGCGUCGAUCAACCAGAUGACCGACUUCCGCUGGUGAACCCCCAAACAUAGGGGCCCAAAAAAAAAAAAAAAAUAGUGUGCAUUUGAUUGUGAAGUGGUCAAACAUUCCAUAUUAUUGUUUCUUUGCUUUUAUUUACAUACCUUACUUUAAGGAAUUAUGUGUAAAUAUUUGUUUCAAUAAGUAUACAAAUGGAG